Molecule: ribosomal RNA, 505 nt
Filed under: uncultured bacterium
Lineage: Bacteria
Description: partial 16S ribosomal RNA
Rfam family: Bacterial small subunit ribosomal RNA
Source: RNAcentral
GACGAACGCUGGCGGCGUGCCUAAUACAUGCAAGUAGAACGCACAGUUUAUACCGUAGCUUGCUACACCAUAAACUGUGAGUUGCGAACGGGUGAGUAACGCGUAGGUAACCUGCCUGGUAGCGGUGGAUAACUAUUGGAAACGAUAGCUAAUACCUCAUAAUAUUGAUUAUUGCAUGAUAAUUGAUUGAAAGAUGCUAUUGCAUCACUACCAGAUGGCCCUGCGUUGUAUUGGCUAGUAGGUGAGGUAACGGCUCACCUAGGCGACGAUACAUAGCCGAACUGGGAGGGUGAUCGGCCAACCUGGGACUGAGACACGGCCCAGACUCCUAAGGGAGGCAGCAGUAGGGAAUCUUCGGCAAUGGACGAAAGUCUGACCGAGCAAAGCCGCGUGAGUGAAGAAGGUUUUCGGAUCGUAAAGCUCUGUUGUAAGAGAAGAACGGGUGUGAGAGUGGAAAGUUCACACUGUGACGGUAUCUUACCAGAAAGGGACGGCUAACUACGUG